CACGCCCUAAACGAUGUCAACUAGCUGUUGGGGUUUAUUAACCUUAGUAGCGCAGCUAACGCGGGAAGUUGACCGCCUGGGGAGUNACGCGAAAAACCUUACCUACCCUUGACAUGUCUGGAAUCCUGAAGAGAUUCGGGAGUGCUCGCAAGAGAACCGGAACACAGGUGC
RNAcentral lists this ribosomal RNA (171 nucleotides) under uncultured bacterium. RNAcentral's name for it is "partial 16S ribosomal RNA". It matches the Rfam family "Bacterial small subunit ribosomal RNA", at positions 796 to 946 of the family's 1533-position model. The record is from RNAcentral.